This is an RNA transcript of Mugil cephalus (flathead mullet), 2760 nucleotides long. It is a transcript of the gene named ribophorin II, with no coding region annotated. Lineage: Eukaryota; Metazoa; Chordata; Actinopteri; Mugiliformes; Mugilidae. The transcript has 18 exons. The record is from RefSeq and is a predicted model, not a curated record.
GCUCAUUCCGCGAGACCCCGGAAGUAAAUCGUGGAUUUUGGUGACGCUGCAUUAGACGUGCAAGACAUGGACCGGUCUCGGCUGCUCGGGUUGUUCCUCCUCCUCAGCCUGGCUCUUUGUGGAGCUCAGGGUCUCACACCGUCUCACUACCUGUCCCUGUCCGACGUGGCCCGGCUGCAGAACCUCCUGAACCAGGACUUCACCGACCUGGAGUCCGCAUACUACUCUGUUCUAGGUCUGACCAAGCUUGGAGCAACAGUUCCAAAUCACAAGCAUGUGUGCGGCUUCCUGAAAUCCCAGCUUGAUCCCACUAGUGUUGACUCUGUCUUCUUUGCUGCUGAGGCCAGUCAGGCCCUUUCAGGAUGUGAGAUCCCUGUGUCCAAUGAAACCCGUGACAUCCUCCAGGCGGCGGUUAGUGAAGACUCGACCAUGACUCAGAUCCACCGGGCUGUGAGCGCGCUCAGCUCUCUGGGGCUUCCUUUCGCUUCCCAGGAGGUCGUCGCUGCCCUGACAGCUCGCAUGAGCAAGGAGGACAAUGUUUUGGCCAUCACCUCGGCUCUGCAAACAGCCUCACGUCUGUCCAGGCAAGCUGAACUCGGAGGAAUCCUGGAGGAAAUUGAGGAUCUGACCGUUCGCUUGGAUGAUCUCGGCGGCAUGUACCUCCAGUUUGAAGAGGGACUCGAGGCCACCGCCAUGUUUGUGACUGCCGCGUACUCGCUGUCCAAUCACGUGGACAUGGAGCCUCCUCUCAAGGAGGACCAGGUUAUCCAGCUGGUGAACUCCAUCUUCAGCAAGAAGUCUUGGGACUCUCUGUCCGAGGCUUUCAGUGUGGCCAGUGCUGCCCAGACUCUGUCCAGCAACCGCUUCCAUGUCCCGGUCAUCGUCAGCGCUCAGGGCCCAGCCACCGUGUCCCACAGCCAGCCGACCCUCCAGCUCCUGGUUACGGACGUCAUGUCUCAGCCUCUGGCCUCAGCCAACGUGUUGGUGGAGUCUGCGUACGCUGUGGCCUCCAAGAGCAUCGUUCUCAGCCAGGCGCCUUUUACGCUGAACGAUGGCGUCUUCGAGCUCAACUUCAUGUCCAGUCAGCCGGCCAGUGGUUAUUACCAGUUCACUGUCGCAGUGACCGGGGACAGUCGGCUGGUGGCCAAUCAUGUUGAGCUUAAAGUGAAGGUUUCCACUGAAGUGGCUGUUGCCAACAUGGACCUCUCUGUGGUGGAUAAGGACCAGAGCAUCGGCACCAAGACCAGCAGAGUGGAUUAUCCCUCCAAAGCCAAGGGCUCCUUCACAGCAGACAGCCACCAGAACUUCGCCAUGUCCUUCCAGCUGGUCGACGUCAACACCGGAGUGGAGCUCACUCCUCACCAGACAUUUGUGCGGCUGCACAAUCAGAAAACCGGCCAGGAGGUUGUGUUCGUGGCCGAACCCGACAGCAAGAACCUGUACAAGUUUGAGUUGGACACGGCCGAGCGGAAAUCAGAGUUCGACUCCAUGUCCGGUACCUAUUCCCUGUACCUCAUCGUCGGGGAUGCGACGCUGGAGAAUCCCAUCCUGUGGAACGUGGCUGAUGUUGUUCUGAAGUUUGUGGAUGAGGAGGCACCAGCCACCAUUCAGCCGAAGACUCUUUACGUGCCCAAACCAGAGAUCCAGCACCUGUUCAGGGAACCAGAGAAGAAGCCUCCCACCGUGGUUUCCAACACCUUCACUGCACUCAUCCUGUCGCCUUUCCUCCUCCUGCUCAUUCUGUGGUUUAAGCUCGGAGCCAACAUCUCCAACUUCAGCUUCUCUCCGAGCACCAUUCUGUUCCAUGUAGGACACGCAGCCUUGCUGGGCCUCAUGUACGUCUACUGGACCCACCUCAACAUGUUCCAGACCCUGAAGUACCUGGCCAUCAUAGGAGGCGUCACCUUCCUCGCCGGAAACCGCAUGCUCGCCCAGAAAGCAGUGAAGAGGAUUGCAGCAGAGCAGAGUAGUAGGUUGGCAAAGUAUAGGAGCCUCCGAUAAAGCCCCCCCCUCCCCGUCCUUCCCCCCCCUCCAUUUGUAACAAAUGAGUGGGUUCUGCUCCCGGGCUGAAAAUUGAGAAAAAAUAAGGGCAAGAAAAUUGAAACGAAGACACUGAUGAGGCUCCUUUUUUUUUUUUUAAAUCUUUUUUUUUUUUGGGUGUGUGUGUGUGAUUGCUUCCGAGGAAUCGUUCAACAACAACAAAAUCAGACUUUUUAUAAAACAAAUGGCACGGAAGUUCAAGAAUCCAUUUGACAGUUUUUUUUUUGACAUGCAGUUUGUCCGUGAUGCCAGAACGGAAGAAAUUGAGACGUGGCAGCGCCUCUGGGAGACUGGACAAACACUCACACUGACAGAUUCUCCUGCAGAGGCCUGUAAAGCUACUGAUCAUUGCACUUCAUCUUCCUGUGAGAUUUGUUUUCUCAUUGUCCGACAUGUCAGUGCGCUGGGAUUUUUUAUUUUUUAUUUUUUUGUCACGGUGAUGCAAUUUGGGUUUUUUUUUUUUUUUUGUACAUUCCUCUUUGUUGUCACUCAGAGCUUAUUUCACCUCAUUACAGAAGCUCACACAGUUUUUUUUUUUUUUCAUCUGAUAACAAACCAUGGGCAGUGACGUUGGGGUUUGUCUGUGGUAUUUGCCUCCUAUUUGAUACAGAAGAAGAAAAAGUCCCUGAGAAAAAAAAUCUUGAUCAUUAAAAAAGUGGCCAAUUGGAGGAAAAUAUGUUUUUUUUUUUUGUAAUGAAAAAAAUAAAUAAGUGGAAGGUG